AUACGGAGGAUCCGAGCGUUAUCCGGAUUUAUUGGGUUUAAAGGGUGCGCAGGCGGCCAUUUAAGUCAGCGGUUAAAUCGUGGGGCUCAACCCCAUUCUGCCGUUGAUACUGGGUGGCUUGAUUGCGGUCGAGGUUGGCGGAAUUCGUUGUGUAGCGGUGAAAUGCAUAGAUAUGACGAAGAACACCGAUUGCGUAGGCAGCUGACCAGAGCACCAAUGACGCUCAUGCUAGAAAGUGCGGGGAUCGGACAGGUUUAGAUACCCUGGGAGUCCGCACAGUAAACGAUGAAUACUUGUUUUCGGCGAUAUAAUGUCGGAGGCAAAGCGAAAGCGAUAAGUAUUCCACCUGGGGAGUACGCCGGCAACGGUGAAACUCAAAUGAAUUGACGGGG
This 392-nucleotide ribosomal RNA is filed under the name uncultured bacterium. RNAcentral describes it as "partial 16S ribosomal RNA". It matches the Rfam family "Bacterial small subunit ribosomal RNA", at positions 523 to 918 of the family's 1533-position model. The record is from RNAcentral.